This 235-nucleotide unclassified non-coding RNA is filed under the name plant metagenome. Its description in RNAcentral is "partial contains small subunit ribosomal RNA, internal transcribed spacer 1, and 5.8S ribosomal RNA". The record is from RNAcentral.
UUUCCGUAGGUGAACCUGCGGAAGGAUCAUUACUGAGUGAGGGCCCCUCGGGGUCCAACCUCCCACCCGUGUUUAACGAACCUUGUUGCUUCGGCGGGCCCGCCCCACGGCCGCCGGGGGGCAUCUGCCCCGGGCCCCCGCCCCCCGGAGCCCCCUGUGAACGCUGUCUGAAGUAUGCAGUCUGAGACAAUUAUUAAAUUAAUUAAAACUUUCAACAACGGAUCUCUUGGUUCCG